UACUAGAAGCCAGGCAUCCAAGCGCGCAAAAACGGCGCUGAUUACAUGAUUACUCAACUAUAUUAGUCCUGCGAGGAAAUUCACGUAGCUCUACUGAGAAUGAAAGCAGUAUUUUUAAACUUAUGAUAAUUGUGAAGAUACAAGUGUCUGACGCAAGCGGCUUUUCUCAAGAGGUUGACGUAGCUGAUCAACGUCUGAUUGCAUUGCUGGCUAUCCGCUGUUAUAAAAUGUAAUAAACAUUGCAUGUGUACUGCUAUAACCGGGCAAGCUGUUGUCGAGUGUUGCUUGACCUCGGAGGAAUUUUGCAAACCCCGGUGACCGUACUUAAUAUUGGUGGGCAAACUCUUCAAUAGCUAGGUCAAAUCGGUUUGCCAGAUAAAGAUAACAGCCGAUCAGGGGCAUCAUGGUCUCCUUCUUUAUAUUACUUCUGCUUCCUGCUAUGUGUCAUGCGGGUGCCUCAAAAGGUUGCAAGGAUGUGAAAGGUGCGUGGCACCCUGAUGGGGCACCUUGUUUGGCAGGGAUACUAGAAAAUCCAGUUGGCGAAUAUAAAUGUGCCGUUGGGCAAUGCUAUGAUGGUGGCUGUAAAAUAGUGAAAAUUGAUGUGUGCGCAACCAGCUAACCAGCUAAGUGUUUAUUCAAUAAAUCUAUCUUGCCGAAACACUGAAAAACUGAGCCCAUAGCACGCCUCUGCAUGUUUAUUCUUCUUACUCGCACAAUUUUAGCAUUUUAAAUGCGUACGAACUUCGAUGCCGACUCAGCAAAAAAACUGUCUGUCCCUCCAUUCCGAAGUUUUUGACGAGAAAUCUCUAAAAGUGAAUAAAUGAGUAACAGAA
This is a long non-coding RNA of Rhipicephalus sanguineus (brown dog tick), 833 nucleotides long. RefSeq lists it as uncharacterized. The record is from RefSeq and is a predicted model, not a curated record. The transcript has 6 exons. Lineage: Eukaryota; Metazoa; Arthropoda; Arachnida; Ixodida; Ixodidae.